This 195-nucleotide ribosomal RNA is filed under the name uncultured Glomeromycotina. Its description in RNAcentral is "partial 18S ribosomal RNA". It matches the Rfam family "Eukaryotic small subunit ribosomal RNA", at positions 569 to 766 of the family's 1831-position model. The record is from RNAcentral. Lineage: Eukaryota; Fungi; Glomeromycota.
AGCAGCCGCGGUAAUUCCAGCUCCAAUAGCGUAUAUUAAAGUUGUUGCAGUUAAAAAGCUCGUAGUUGAACUUCAGGUCGGGUUGGGCGGUCCGCUUAACGGCGUGUACUGUCUGACUUGGCCUUACCUCUUGGUGAGCCGGCGUGCCCUUUAUUGGUGUGCGUCGGGGAACCAGGACUUUUACCUUGAGAAAAU